GUUCCAUUGAUGUUGUCCCAAAUGGUGGGAUUUUCUUUUUCUUUUUUUUUUUUCCUGAGGCGAAUUAGUCCUGAGCUAACAUCUGCUGCCAAUGCUCUUCUUUUUUUGCUGAGGAAGACUGGCCCUGAGCUCACAUCCAUGCCCUUCUUCCUCUACUUCAUAUGUGGGAUGCCUACCAAACCAUGGCUUGCCAAGCGGUGCCGUAUCCGCACCCGGGAUCCGAACUGGCAAACCGCGGGCUGCCAAAGUGGAAUGUGCACACUUAACCGCUGUGCCACUGGGCUGGCCCUGGGAUUUUCUUCUUUUUUAUGGCUGAAUAAUAUUUUAUUAUUUAUAUAUACCACAUUUUCUUUAUCUCUUCAUCCAAUGAUGCGCUCUUGGGUUGUUUCCAUGUCUUGGCUACUGCAAAUAACCCUUCAGUGAAUAUGGGGGUGCAGAUAUCUUUUUGAAAUAGUGAUUUUAUUUCCUUUGGAUCCAUACCCAGAACUGGGAUUGCUGGACCAUAUGGUAGUUCUAUUUUUAAUUUUUUGAGGAACCUCCCUACUGUUUUCCAAGGUGGCUGUAUCAGUGUACAUUCUCACUGACAGUGCACAAGGCUUCCCUUUUCUCCACAUCUUCGACAACACUUACCACUUGUAUUUUUUAGUUUUUAUUUUAUUCUAAGUAAUUUAAAUUAAAUAGCCACAUGUGGCAAGUGGCUGCCAUAUUGGACAGUGCCACUUUAGAAGACCACAACCAGAUCUAGUCCCUCAGGCGCCUGCUCUUGGUGACGAUGCCCUUGAUAGUCCUGAUAUUUUCCAGGAUUGGUAAGUUAUCCUCCACAGACCUUGCUUAUGGAACUGACUAGAAGGGAUCAAGCCUUUCAGUAACAUCCACAUCUUUCUUCAAACUCAGUGCUACAAAAAUGACACCAUCUGGCUCCAGCGUGACUCUUGCAGCAGAGGUAAAAUAUCAAAGUCACUGUGAAAGGAUGGUAAUAAACGUGACACUUCUGUGGGUUACAAAAGGAUUAUGAGACCAUCAUUUCUUGAGGUGAGUGAUUUAUCUGGGAAGUUGGAUAUUAAAAGGCACAGGGAUAUGAAAUGCAAACCAAACGAGAGUCAUAAAAUCCCACAACACUUUUAUGUUUCAAAGCUAAAAUAUCAGCUAUAAUUUUCCUACUUCCAGCCUACAUAUUAACCUCUCCUUUAUUUCCGAAUUGGGUGCCAGAUGGUUUCUGACACUCCUGGUUGGAUCUCUGCAUCUGGAAGCAAUUCAUCUAGUCAGUGGAAUUUCUCAGGAAAAUUAUCUAUUUACAGUCAAGUAGGUGGGGCAGCUACAGGACUGUUUACAAACUUCCUUCAAGUGAUCAAAUUAGAUGGGAUCACAGAACAGAAAUGAUUAUUGCUAUUUUAUCUCCCUAAUUUGGGACAGGAACUUACAGCUGUUCGAUGUAGAGAGUUAGAGCACAAGGUAAAGAAUUAGGAAACCUGGUUUUCCACUAAUUUACUAUGUCUUUGGGCAAGUAACUCUUCCUGUCUCAACUUCAGUCUCAUCAUAAAUAAAAGUUGGGAUAAUGAAGGCAGUCUUUCCAACUUCAAAAGUUUGAAUUUUAUGGUGAAUGGUGGGUGGAUGCUGGGACAAGAGUCACAUGGUGUUUUGGGUGAGCUGUGAAAUAUUGAGAGAUUCCAGAAACUGCUGUAACGGCCCAGGCAGACAGACUAAGAUGAAAAGGAGGAGGAUCUUGAGGGCUCAUAUGCUCAUAAGUCAGUGGUUGAGAUUGGGGAAGAGACAAACCACAAGAGCAACAGCACAACUGUAGAAGUUCAGACACGCAGAUUCCUGGUUUCUGCUUGCCUGACUUUGACAAGGGGUAUAGUGUCAGAUGUGAAUAGGAUGUUUGAAGAAAGGAAAAGAAUAAUCAUACUGGAAAAAAUCAUGGAGGAAGACAGGAGGAACAAAAGAAGCGGAGAGUUCACGGAAGCAAAAUCUAAGAAGACAGAAUGCUACUCAUUAUUACCUUCCAUAAGUAUUUUCUAUCACAGUUCUGGACAUGCACUGGUUCAGGCCACAGCCUUCAGCUGUCUGGAUUAUUGCAAUACAUUUCCAACUGGUGCCCCUCGCUUCAGUCUUGCCCCCUCCAAUCUAUUCUGCAUAUGCAGCCAAAGUGAUUUUCCU
Long non-coding RNA from Equus asinus (donkey), 2157 nucleotides. NCBI's taxonomy places the organism in Eukaryota, Metazoa, Chordata, Mammalia, Perissodactyla, Equidae. The record is from Ensembl.